AGACCCGAAACCCGGUGAUCUAGCCAUGGGCAGGUUGAAGGUUGGGUAACACUAACUGGAGGACCGAACCGACUAAUGUUGAAAAAUUAGCGGAUGACCUGUGGCUGGGGGUGAAAGGCCAAUCAAACCGGGAGAUAGCUGGUUCUCCCCGAAAGCUAUUUAGGUAGCGCCUCGUGAAUUCAUCUCCGGGGGUAGAGCACUGUUUCGGCUAGGGGGCCAUCCCGGCUUACCAACCCGAUGCAAACUGCGAAUACCGGAGAAUGUUAUCACGGGAGACACACGGCGGGUGCUAACGUCCGUCGUGAAGAGGGAAACAACCCAGACCGCCAGCUAAGGUCCCAAAGUCAUGGUUAAGUGGGAAACGAUGUGGGAAGGCCCAGACAGCCAGGAUGUUGGCUUAGAAGCAGCCAUCAUUUAAAGAAAGCGUAAUAGCUCACUGGUCGAGUCGGCCUGCGCGGAAGAUGUAACGGGGCUAAACCAUGCACCGAAGCUGCGGCAGCGACGCUUAUGCGUUGUUGGGUAGGGGAGCGUUCUGUAAGCCUGUGAAGGUGGCCUGUGAGGGUUGCUGGAGGUAUCAGAAGUGCGAAUGCUGACAUAAGUAACGAUAAAGCGGGUGAAAAGCCCGCUCGCCGGAA
RNAcentral lists this ribosomal RNA (635 nucleotides) under Salmonella enterica. Its description in RNAcentral is "partial 23S ribosomal RNA". It matches the Rfam family "Bacterial large subunit ribosomal RNA", at positions 711 to 1342 of the family's 2925-position model. The record is from RNAcentral. RNAcentral also lists the same sequence under 2 other names. Lineage: Bacteria; Pseudomonadati; Pseudomonadota; Gammaproteobacteria; Enterobacterales; Enterobacteriaceae.